This 253-nucleotide ribosomal RNA is filed under the name uncultured bacterium. Its description in RNAcentral is "partial 16S ribosomal RNA". It matches the Rfam family "Bacterial small subunit ribosomal RNA", at positions 524 to 776 of the family's 1533-position model. The record is from RNAcentral.
UACGGGGGGGGCAAGCGUUGUUCGGAAUUACUGGGCGUAAAGGGCUCGUAGGUGGCCAACUAAGUCAGACGUGAAAUCCCUCAGCUUAACUGGGGAACUGCGUCUGAUACUGGAUGGCUUGAGUUUGGGAGAGGGAUGCGGAAUUCCAGGUGUAGCGGUGAAAUGCGUAGAUAUCUGGAGGAACACCGGUGGCGAAGGCGGCAUCCUGGGCCAACACUGACACUGAGGAGCGAAAGCCAGGGGAGCAAACGGG